Suncus etruscus (white-toothed pygmy shrew) is the source of this 122-nucleotide small nuclear RNA. NCBI's taxonomy places the organism in Eukaryota, Metazoa, Chordata, Mammalia, Eulipotyphla, Soricidae. The record is from RefSeq and is a predicted model, not a curated record.
GUAUUGUGUGAAAGAAGAGAGGUUAGCAAUCCCCUUGACAAGGAUGGAAGAGGCUUCGGCCUGCAACACGCAUAGGGUUAAGGCACUUCCACCUACUUUGUGGUAUCUAACCAAUGUUUUGG